RNAcentral lists this ribosomal RNA (721 nucleotides) under Globigerinoides ruber albus. RNAcentral describes it as "SSU rRNA". It matches the Rfam family "Eukaryotic small subunit ribosomal RNA", at positions 1227 to 1612 of the family's 1831-position model. Lineage: Eukaryota; Foraminifera; Rotaliida; Globigerinidae. The record is from RNAcentral.
CAAGCAAGUAGGAGUCAGGUUUUAAACCUAAUGGCUCUUUCAUGAUUAUAUGAUAGGUGGUGCAUGGCCGUUCUUAGUUCGUGGAGUGAUCUGUCUGCUUAAUUGCGUUUCAAAUUUUUAACCGAGGACCGGGUUUUGGUUUGGCUAGUGGUCCUACGAUGACUGUGAACUGUCAUGUCUUCGGAUGUACGACUAUCGGUCUAGGAUCACAUGACUUGCCCCUGGGACUCUUUUGAACGCAACGGACGUGAUUGCAACCCCUUGUUGAGAUUAGAGAUAGUCUCGAUAUUCACUGGCCAAACUGGCUGCUUUAUGCAGUCUUGUUGAAUGGUGGAUAAACUCGGGGGACUGCUGACUAUAACCAUUUCUCAAAACAGAGGAAGGUUGCGGCAAUAACAGGUCUGUGAUGCCCUCAGAUGUCCCGGGCUGCACACGUGCUACAAUGAGUGGCGCAAUGUGCUAAUGUUUUAAGGGAUAAGCGUGCGGCCAGUAGAACGUCGGCAAUUGCCCUGGCGUCUUCUACCGCACGAUUAUCAGCCUUCCCUUAACAGGGCGGGCAACCUUUUCAAAAUACCGGUUUGAUGUUAAAGUAUAGAGUCGUUUUUUUUGGAUGGUGGUUUACGAACCAAUACCAUCCGCAACUGCUCGCGAGUUUGUGGUUCUGGUGACUCAUGGUGGGGACCGAUGUUUGUAAUUGUUUGUCGCGUGUCAACUAGGAAUG